AGACAGGUGGUGCAUGGUUGUCGUCAGCUCGUGUCGUGAGAUGUUCGGGUUAAGUCCCGCAACGAGCCGCAACCCCUAUUGCUAGUUACCAUCAUUAAGUUGGGGACUCUAGCGAGACUGCCAGUGAUAAACUGGAGGAAGGUGGGGAUGACGUCAAAUCAUCAUGCCCCUUAUGACCUGGGCUACACACGUGCUACAAUGGUCGGUACAAAGGGUUGCCAAGCCGCGAGGUGGAGCUAAUCCCAUAAAAACCGAUCGUAGUCCGGAUCGCAGUCUGCAACUCGACUGCGUGAAGUCGGAAUCGCUAGUAAUCGUGAAUCAGAAUGUCACGGUGAAUACGUUCCCGGGCCUU
This 352-nucleotide ribosomal RNA is filed under the name uncultured Turicibacter sp. RNAcentral's name for it is "bacterial SSU rRNA". It matches the Rfam family "Bacterial small subunit ribosomal RNA", at positions 1032 to 1382 of the family's 1533-position model. The record is from RNAcentral. Lineage: Bacteria; Bacillati; Bacillota; Erysipelotrichia; Erysipelotrichales; Turicibacteraceae.